RNAcentral lists this ribosomal RNA (253 nucleotides) under uncultured bacterium. Its description in RNAcentral is "partial 16S ribosomal RNA". It matches the Rfam family "Bacterial small subunit ribosomal RNA", at positions 524 to 776 of the family's 1533-position model. The record is from RNAcentral.
UACAGGGGGUGCAAACGUUGCUCGGAAUUAUUGGGCGUAAAGCGCGCGUAGGCGGCCACUUAAGUCGGAUGUGAAAGCCCCUGGCUCAACUGGGGAAGUGCACCCGAAACUGAGCGGCUUGAAUGCAAAAGAGGGUCGCGGAAUUCCCGGUGUAGAGGUGAAAUUCGUAGAUAUCAGGAGGAACACCGGUGGCGAAGGCGGGUCUCUGGGCCGUAACUGACGCUGAGGAGCGAAAGCGUGGGGAGCGAACAGG